AAAUAUUAUUAUAAUCCUGUAUUUUUCUUUCUCCAUUUACAGUUUCAUCAUACACAAAGGCACGUUCAGGUUCGUUUAAAGCUCUUGAACAAAGUGAAAGGAAAAUUUGUCAACAGGGGGACAAGGCAGUCAAAGGCAUCACUGCAGCAAGCAAGAUUUAAACCUCCAUCAUGUCAUUGAUCCACCCCCAAAUGCCCUCUCCUGCGGGUUCCUCACGGCAAGGCAGAAUUUUUAUCAUCUUGCAGUUGCACUGAACCUUGCCAAAAGAAUCAGCAAAGGAAGGGUACAUGGAAAUCACUGUCCUUGCAUUUAGUGGUGCCUGUUCUGCAGUAACGCUGGAUCCGGCUGAGGGAACAUGAAGAAUUUAUGAAGACGCACACCCGUCUCGGUUGGCCCAACAGGGUUCGUGGUCUGCCAGCUGUGCACCUACUGCAGAGACGAAAAGUACCCUGCAGAGCUGGCAUGCCCUGUGUGACUCCAGAGCUCAAGAAAGGUGAGGGAGAAGGACUCACAGCAACUGGGAAGUUCCCACGGAUGAGACAGGACCACAAACAGCAAAGAUGGAAGUGGUUUGCACCGUAUGCCCUUUGA
RNAcentral lists this long non-coding RNA (591 nucleotides) under Struthio camelus australis. RNAcentral describes it as "lncRNA (ENSSCUG00000011026.1)". The record is from RNAcentral. Lineage: Eukaryota; Metazoa; Chordata; Aves; Struthioniformes; Struthionidae.